This 447-nucleotide ribosomal RNA is filed under the name Triticum aestivum (bread wheat). RNAcentral's name for it is "partial small subunit ribosomal RNA". Lineage: Eukaryota; Viridiplantae; Streptophyta; Magnoliopsida; Poales; Poaceae. The record is from RNAcentral.
AUGCUUGCCAUUAUACUUUCACCACACAUUAAUGCAAUUAUGUGCAAUUCUCAGAGUGCUUUCAUCAAGAAGAGAAGUAUCCACGAAAACUUUAUGUGUGUGAGGAACCAUGCCCGACGGCUCCACAGGAACAAAGCCCUCUCCCUCCUCUUCAAGCUUGAUCUCUGGAAAGCUUUUGACUCGGUGCGUUGGGAGUAAAUAUUUAACAUUCUUCGGAGAAGGGGCUUCCCUAGUAGAUUUCAUGAUUGGAUUGCCACCCUACUUAGCACCUCUUCGCCGAAGAUUCUUCUCAAUGGUGUGCCAACUUAUCCCAUUGCAAAUGGUCGCGGUCUUAGGCAAGGAGAUCCGCUUUCACCGAUGUUGUUCGUCAUAGCCAUCAACCCACUACAACAAAUCCUCGAAUCGGCUACUAGACUUGGCCUCCUCCAUAAAAUCUGGGGACCUUGA